GUGGGGAAUCUUGCGCAAUGGGCGAAAGCCUGACGCAGCCAUGCCGCGUGAAUGAUGAAGGUCUUAGGAUUGUAAAAUUCUUUCACCGGGGACGAUAAUGACGGUACCCGGAGAAGAAGCUCCGGCUAACUUCGUGCCAGCAGCCGCGGUAAUACGAAGGGGGCUAGCGUUGCUCGGAAUUAAUGGGCGUAAAGGGCGCGUAGGCGGACAGCUUAGUCAGAGGUGAAAGCCCAGGGCUCAACCUUGGAAUUGCCUUUGAUACUGGCUGUCUUGAGUUUGGGAGAGGUGAGUGGAACUCCGAGUGUAGAGGUGAAAUUCGUAGAUAUUCGGAAGAACACCAGUGGCGAAGGCGACUCACUGGCCCAAUACUGACGCUGAGGCGCGAAAGCGUGGGGAGCAAACAGGAUUAGAAACCCCAGUAGUCC
RNAcentral lists this ribosomal RNA (425 nucleotides) under uncultured bacterium. RNAcentral's name for it is "partial 16S ribosomal RNA". It matches the Rfam family "Bacterial small subunit ribosomal RNA", at positions 354 to 796 of the family's 1533-position model. The record is from RNAcentral.